RNAcentral lists this microRNA precursor (82 nucleotides) under Procavia capensis (Cape rock hyrax). Its description in RNAcentral is "miRNA (ENSPCAG00000019949.1)". It matches the Rfam family "mir-30 microRNA precursor family". From Rfam's summary of the family: This family consists of the mammalian microRNA (miRNA) precursor mir-30a. The record is from RNAcentral. Lineage: Eukaryota; Metazoa; Chordata; Mammalia; Hyracoidea; Procaviidae.
AAGUCUGUUGUUGUAAACAUCCCCGACUGGAAGCUGUACGACAGAGCUAAGCUUUCAGUCCGAUGUUUGCUGCUACCGGCUC